This 1468-nucleotide long non-coding RNA is filed under the name Salmo salar (Atlantic salmon). RNAcentral's name for it is "lncRNA (ENSSSAG00000093367.1)". Lineage: Eukaryota; Metazoa; Chordata; Actinopteri; Salmoniformes; Salmonidae. The record is from RNAcentral.
CGAUGCUCAGGAAAGGCAGUUGAUCCAUCGACCGGCUCGGCUUUGCAACUCUGUAUUAAAGUCUAUAUUGAAUUCACAAAGUUCUUGCAAGAGUAUUAUAUUCUUAAGACAAUUUUCCACGACAUAUUUGGCGAGCUUGCCAGGAGAUCGAAGAGACCUCGGACAGUGUCGUUCUUGGCUGGUGACGGUUUCUCUGGACAAUCUCACAAACGGGUGGCCACCCAACUAUAAACAGGGUAGCUAAGGAUGAAUGCCCCAGGGAGAAUUGGACAUGUGGAAAAUGAAAGGGGUGUCACGCUUGUCGUCGGUUAAAGAGGACCAAAACGCAGCAGGUGAAUUACAGGAGAAGGUGAUUCACUCAAUCCAACCAGGAGACUGGGUGUGGAUCCAGUCCCUGAGGAGAAAAGACAGGAAGCAGCCCCGUGGGGAAGGCCCAUACCAGGUUCUGUUAAACCACUGCCUUUGCCAUUAGAAAAGCUGAGAGAGUCACUUGGGUCCACGUUACCCACUGCAAGAAGGUAUGUACACAUAUGAGCACUGCUGAUCACACACAGAGUUAGGAGAAGAACCGAGUACCAACAGGGUCCGGGGGUCACCUCCUUAACGAAGAUUCCCUAUCCCGACCGUUCAUCACUGUGUGUGCUCCUAGAGGUGUGAGUAUGGGGUGGUACCAAGCAGAGAGACUAAGGGCAGGAGAGGGUUGGCGGUUUUUGGGAAGAGUAGAGACUCUGAGCUGCAUCAUAGUCUAAUCUUUCUGAUACAUUCAGAUCCACCAGAUUCCGGUACUAAUCAAACGAUACCGUUGUCAUCGAGAAGAAGUAAAAGAUAAACUAUAUAAUACACUGAUGAGUGACUUACAUAAUAAGGAGUCAAAGAAGAUCAAGAUGUAGGAUUUAAGGUAAACAUUAAACAACUUCCUAGGAAAGCAGACAACUGUACAGGGACUGGGUGGGUCAGAUUGAGGUACUCGGCCAACCCACCUAGGUUCACCUUAACUCCUGAUGAGUACCAGUGUUAUAGAUACAAGAAUGGCACCGAGAACUUGGAUGAUUUUAAUAGCUGGAAAGUAAUUGUUAAUGUGACUGACUUAGGUUUGAAAGAUGAAUAGAAAAUGCUUAACCUCACAGCACCUAUAACUGAUGUUGGGUGGGCUAGUACCAGCAAAGGACGCAUACGACAGAAAUUACCACAAAGGGUGGUUAGGAGCUUGCGCCCGGGUUUAUUGGUCCAACCAGUUCAAGUUAGUCAUCAGAGGCCAGUUAUAGGAGGCUAAAGUAGACACAGGAGGAGUUUUGACCAGGAUGGGAGUAGCUUUGUCUAGAUGGAUGCUAUUGGCAUCCACAGGGAAGUUCCAGAUGAAUACAAAGCUAUGAAUCAAAUAUGUGAAGGCUUUAACACUACAUUAUUAUGGUAGUUGACAAUAAAUAAAAAUGUGGAUGGGAUUAAUGACAUCUUUUAUAAUCAACAG